CAGCCGCCACGGUAAUACGUAGGUGGCAAGCGUUGUCCGGAAUUAUUGGGCGUAAAGGGCUCGCAGGCGGUUUCUUAAGUCUGAUGUGAAAGCCCCCGGCUCAACCGGGGAGGGUCAUUGGAAACUGGGAAACUUGAGUGCAGAAGAGGAGAGUGGAAUUCCACGUGUAGCGGUGAAAUGCGUAGAGAUGUGGAGGAACACCAGUGGCGAAGGCGACUCUCUGGUCUGUAACUGACGCUGAGGAGCGAAAGCGUGGGGAGCAAACAGGAUUAGAGACCCGCGUAGUCCCUGUCUCUUAUAC
Molecule: ribosomal RNA, 301 nt
Filed under: uncultured bacterium
Lineage: Bacteria
Description: partial 16S ribosomal RNA
Rfam family: Bacterial small subunit ribosomal RNA
Source: RNAcentral